This 27-nucleotide non-coding RNA is filed under the name Homo sapiens (human). Lineage: Eukaryota; Metazoa; Chordata; Mammalia; Primates; Hominidae. The record is from RNAcentral.
UGGGAAUGAGAUCUAGGUUGUGGCUGC